GUCGUGACUUGAAGUCAUAACUUACGGGCUAACAACUGUGUCUGGAACGCAGCAAUAAGAGGAAGAAUUAUUUAAUUU
This is a long non-coding RNA of Etheostoma spectabile (orangethroat darter), 78 nucleotides long. RefSeq lists it as uncharacterized. The transcript is spliced from 3 exons. NCBI's taxonomy places the organism in Eukaryota, Metazoa, Chordata, Actinopteri, Perciformes, Percidae. The record is from RefSeq and is a predicted model, not a curated record.